Molecule: long non-coding RNA, 453 nt
Organism: Leopardus geoffroyi (Geoffroy's cat)
Lineage: Eukaryota; Metazoa; Chordata; Mammalia; Carnivora; Felidae
Exons: 2
Source: RefSeq, a predicted model, not a curated record
UCAAGAGUCAAAUGGUCAACUGACUGAGCCAUCCAGGAGCCCCGUUAGUCAAGUUUUCGUGAACAUUUGUGUACACGUUUUGUGUGGACAUAUGUUUUCAACGUGGGACGAUUCUGAAGUGGGGAGUGUAUUUGGAGCCUGAGGGCAGAGUGGGCUGUGGGGAGGCCCGUGCACGCAUUUGCUGUUACCAGGCCAGUCUGGGGCAGACGUUAUGUGCUUCAUUUCUUUCAAAUAACCCUACAAGGCAGGGUCUGUUAUUUCCCCCUUUUUUUUUACAGGUGAGGGUACUCAGACUCAGUGAAAUUAAGUAAGCUGCACAACCAGGAAAUGUCCCGCUCUUAGCACGUUAGCAUGCUUCUGCUCCCGGGAGACCAGAGCCGAGUUUGGUGAAAUUUCAGGAGGUUUUAGCCAAUGGCGAUCCAAAGACAAUAAAUAUUACUUCGUGGGAAGGUC